GGUGAUGGCAAUGUACUUCCUGUUUUGUUGACACAGGUGAUGGCAAUGUACUUCCUGUUUUGUUGACACAGGUGAUGGCAAUGUACUUCCUGUUUCGUGCUACCAAGGUCAGCGUGGAGUUCUUGAGUCUGUUUGGCUGGUUGGAGAGCUAGCUUGGCAGCUAGUGGCUCCAUGACCAUGACUGACCUUUUGUCUGAUCAGCCGUUUUACUGCCUUGUUUGGAAACAAUGAAGAUGUAGCGUGUGCGGCCCUGCAGCUUGGAAGAUGCAGUAUUUCUUUUUCUUUCCAUCCCGGGAUGAAUAUUAAUGAGGAGUUUGGAUGUGUGAAGCCGGGACAUGACCACGGACAAUGAGGCAAGAAGCUGUGGAGAUAAUGAGGACCUGCUGGCUGCAAGAAAGGAGCUGCUGAACAACCCUGACCGUGGUCUUCAUGUCAUCAAGGACACAAAGACCUCCUUUUCAUUACCAGUCGCCUCCUUCUCUUGGACACACACAACUGCACCCACAGAGACCGACAUACCCGUCUAAUCACAGCUGUUACCUCUCUACAUACCCGUCUAAUCACAGCUGUUACCUCUCUACAUACCCGUCUAAUCACAGCUGUUACCUCUCUACAUACCCGUCUAAUCACAGCUGUUACCUCUCUACAUACCCGUCUAAUCACAGCUGUUACCUCUCUACAUACCCGUCUAGUCACAGCUGUUACCUCUCUACAUACCCGUCUAGUCACAGCUGUUGCCUCUCUACAUACCCGU
Long non-coding RNA from Nerophis ophidion (straightnose pipefish), 754 nucleotides. RefSeq lists it as uncharacterized. The record is from RefSeq and is a predicted model, not a curated record. Lineage: Eukaryota; Metazoa; Chordata; Actinopteri; Syngnathiformes; Syngnathidae. The transcript is spliced from 3 exons.